RNAcentral lists this long non-coding RNA (960 nucleotides) under Suricata suricatta (meerkat). Its description in RNAcentral is "lncRNA (ENSSSUG00005016712.1)". The record is from RNAcentral. Lineage: Eukaryota; Metazoa; Chordata; Mammalia; Carnivora; Herpestidae.
GGGAGACUUCGGGGACAGGCGGAUCGCCAGCCUGAGCCAGAAUCAAACUCCAGGCCGCGCGGGGAGAGGGAGUCUGCAGACCCAGCCUCGAGCUAAGGGUACGGGAGGAGUCUGAAGGCCCCUCCAGGCUCCCAGGAAACUCACACAUAGAAGAAAAAGAGGCAGAGUAUCGGGCACUUGGAAAAAGAUCUCGCCCGAAGUGGAGUAAAGGUACUCAGACAGAGCCCUGGAGCAGGACUGGGGGCCCGCAAAGGAGGCCCUGGAGCAGGACUGGGGGCCCGCAGAGGAGGCCCUGUGGCUCUGGCUGCGGGCAGCGCUGGAGGCCCUGUUGAGAAAGUGCAGGUGCCGCAGCCAGAGCGGGCCCCAGGGAGGUCCCCUGAGGUAGAAAAUACUCUUCCCAGGCCGAGAGCUCUCCACUACUCAGGGCUGCUUGCCCACAUUGGGGGUCACGUUCUCAGGAAGAAGGCUGUCAAGGCCUGGGACAUCAUCCAAAGGAGACAGGAACCAAGCCCCCAACAGAGUUGCUGUGAAUAAUAUCAUUUCUGUGACGGUGCCCCUGGAGGUGUGCAGUGCAUUGCCUGGUGUGGCUGCGGGCAGUGGAUGGAGGCAAGGGAAGGGCCAGGGUCCCUGUGACCUACCCACCCCUCCAGAGAGUCAGAGGGAGGGAAGCAACUGGUGUUAGCUCAGUGGAUAGAAAAGUUUCUAGGGCCGAGUUGCCCCUGGUGAAAGCUGCAAUCCCCAGGGAGUGAGGAAGGUGAAGGUUCGUGCAAGCCAAAGAUUCUAGGGGAGGCCCCCAGAACCUCUGCCCCUUGCAAGGGUGUGGGCAACACCACCCUGUGAUGGCCUAGGUUCCUAAGCUUUUAGUGACCUGAUGGUCUCAGCCCACAGCUGACCCUCCGAGAGCUCCUGCUCCCUACCAUGCUGGGGGUGACCCCGGGGACCCACCUGUCUGCUCCUGCC